Non-coding RNA from Lolium perenne, 480 nucleotides. NCBI's taxonomy places the organism in Eukaryota, Viridiplantae, Streptophyta, Magnoliopsida, Poales, Poaceae. The record is from RefSeq and is a predicted model, not a curated record.
CAUUUCUCUUCUCUCCACUCCCUCACACUCUCCUCCUCCUCUCUCCCACGAGCUGCUGCUGCCCCUUGCUCCCAUGGCCGGCCAUGGCCAUGGAAAUCCACCAAGAUGAAGCUCUCCCCCUCCCCCAAGCUUCCCCUCACCAUGAGAGCUUCCCUCUCACUCUCUUCUCCCCUAACCCUAGCUGAAUCCCUCUCUAUUUCUUCUUCCUCCAUUGCUAAGAUUGGAUCUUGAUGCAGGUGCAUGUUGGUCCAAGCAUGGAGAAGGUUGAGCAAUCCUCAGAUCUGAAGUUCUUGAGCAAAAUCCAAAUCGAGUGAUUCAAAGUUCCACAGAUAGGUAUUGAAAAGAUCUACAACUUGGCGUUGGUCUCAUCCUCAAAUUCUUUACGGAUUUUGCAUGAUCAAGAUCUGGUCAGAUCUGACUUUGUCGAAUUAAACCAGGAGCUUGGGAACGAAUUUUUGAAUGAAACCAAUUGGGUAGGAA